Molecule: ribosomal RNA, 982 nt
Filed under: human oral metagenome
Description: bacterial LSU rRNA
Rfam family: Bacterial large subunit ribosomal RNA
Source: RNAcentral
ACGGUCCUAAGGUAGCGAAAUUCCUUGUCGGGUAAGUUCCGACCUGCACGAAUGGCAUAAUGAUGGCCAGGCUGUCUCCACCCGAGACUCAGUGAAAUUGAAAUCGCCGUGAAGAUGCGGUGUACCCGCGGCUAGACGGAAAGACCCCGUGAACCUUUACUAUAGCUUGACACUGAACAUUGAAUUUUGAUGUGUAGGAUAGGUGGGAGACUUUGAAGUAGUCACGCCAGUGAUUAUGGAGUCGUCCUUGAAAUACCACCCUUUAACGUUUGAUGUUCUAACGAAGAUUACGAAACGUGGUCUCGGACAGUGUCUGGUGGGUAGUUUGACUGGGGCGGUCUCCUCCCAAAGAGUAACGGAGGAGCACGAAGGUUUGCUAAUGACGGUCGGACAUCGUCAGGUUAGUGCAAUGGUAUAAGCAAGCUUAACUGCGAGACAGACAAGUCGAGCAGGUACGAAAGUAGGUCAUAGUGAUCCGGUGGUUCUGAAUGGAAGGGCCAUCGCUCAACGGAUAAAAGGUACUCCGGGGAUAACAGGCUGAUACCGCCCAAGAGUUCAUAUCGACGGCGGUGUUUGGCACCUCGAUGUCGGCUCAUCACAUCCUGGGGCUGAAGUAGGUCCCAAGGGUAUGGCUGUUCGCCAUUUAAAGUGGUACGCGAGCUGGGUUUAGAACGUCGUGAGACAGUUCGGUCCCUAUCUGCCGUGGGCGUUGGAGAAUUGAUUGGGGCUGCUCCUAGUACGAGAGGACCGGAGUGGACGCACCACUGGUGUUCCGGUUGUGUCGCCAGACGCAUUGCCGGGUAGCUAAGUGCGGAAGAGAUAAGUGCUGAAAGCAUCUAAGCACGAAACUUGCCAAGAGAUGAGUUCUCCCAGAUUACAAAUCUGUAAGGGUUGUUUAAGACUAAGACGUAGAUAGGUGCGGUGUGUAAGUGUAGUGAUACAUUGAGCUAACGCAUACUAAUUGCCCGAGAGGCUUAGCCAU